Molecule: non-coding RNA, 75 nt
Organism: Solea solea (common sole)
Lineage: Eukaryota; Metazoa; Chordata; Actinopteri; Pleuronectiformes; Soleidae
Source: the annotation of a RefSeq genome assembly
GCCCGGCUAGCUCAGUCGGUAGAGCAUGAGACUCUUAAUUUCAGGGUCGUGGGUUCGAGCCCCACUUUUAGGGCA